GACGAACGCUGGCGGCGUGCCUAAUACAUGCAAGUAGAACGCUGAAGGAGGAGCUUGCCCUUCUGGAUGAGUUGCGAACGGGUGAGUAACGCGUAGGUAACCUGCCUGGUAGCGGGGGAUAACUAUUGGAAACGAUAGCUAAUACCGCAUAACAGUAGAUGUUGCAUGACAUUUACUUAAAAGGUGCAAUUGCAUCACUACCAGAUGGACCUGCGUUGUAUUAGCUAGUUGGUGGGGUAACGGCUCACCAAGGCGACGAUACAUAGCCGACCUGAGAGGGGGAUCGGCCACCCUGGGAAUGGGAAACGGCCCAGACUCCUACGGGAGGCAGCAGUAGGGAAUCUUCGGCAAUGGACGGAAGUCUGACCGAGCAACGCCGCGUGAGUGAAGAAGGUUUUCGGAUCGUAAAGCUCUGUUGUAAGAGAAGAACGAGUGUGAGAGUGGAAAGUUCACACUGUGACGGUAUCUUACCAGAAAGGGACGGCUAACUACGUG
RNAcentral lists this ribosomal RNA (495 nucleotides) under uncultured bacterium. RNAcentral describes it as "partial 16S ribosomal RNA". It matches the Rfam family "Bacterial small subunit ribosomal RNA", at positions 28 to 507 of the family's 1533-position model. The record is from RNAcentral.